This 493-nucleotide ribosomal RNA is filed under the name Diaporthe sp. FLS-2010. Its description in RNAcentral is "eukaryotic LSU rRNA". The stretch from base 172 to 325 matches the Rfam family "5.8S ribosomal RNA". The record is from RNAcentral. Lineage: Eukaryota; Fungi; Ascomycota; Sordariomycetes; Diaporthales; Diaporthaceae.
CUGGAACGCGCCCCUGGCGCACCCAGAACCCCUUUGUGAACUUAUACCUUACUGUUGCCUGGGCGCAGGCCGUCCCCUACGGGUCCCUUGCAGACAAGGAGCAGCCGGCCGGUGGCCAAAUUAACUCUGUUUUUACACUGUAACUCUGAGUACAAAACAUAAAUGAAUCAAAACUUUCAACAACGGAUCUCUUGGUUCUGGCAUCGAUGAAGAACGCAGCGAAAUGCGAUAAGUAAUGUGAAUUGCAGAAUUCAGUGAAUCAUCGAAUCUUUGAACGCACAUUGCGCCCUCUGGUAUUCCGGAGGGCAUGCCUGUUCGAGCGUCAUUUCAACCCUCAAGCCUGGCUUGGUGUUGGGGCACUGCCUGUAAAAGGGCAGGCCCUGAAAUAUAGUGGCGAGCUCGCCAGGACUCCGAGCGUAGUAGUUAAACCCUCGCUUUGGAAGGCCUGGCGGUGCCCUGCCGUUAAACCCCAACUUUUGAAAAUUUGACCUCG